AUUGAACGCUGGCGGCAGGCCUAACACAUGCAAGUCGGACGGUAGCACAGAGAGCUUGCUCUCGGGUGACGAGUGGCGGACGGGUGAGUAAUGUCUGGGAAACUGCCCGAUGGAGGGGGAUAACUACUGGAAACGGUAGCUAAUACCGCAUAACGCCUUCGGACCAAAGUGGGGGACCUUCGGGCCUCACACCAUCGGAUGUGCCCAGAUGGGAUUAGCUAGUAGGUGGGGUAAUGGCUCACCUAGGCGACGAUCCCUAGCUGGUCUGAGAGGAUGACCAGCCACACUGGAACUGAGACACGGUCCAGACUCCUACGGGAGGCAGCAGUGGGGAAUAUUGCACAAUGGGCGCAAGCCUGAUGCAGCCAUGCCGCGUGUAUGAAGAAGGCCUUCGGGUUGUAAAGUACUUUCAGCGGGGAGGAAGGCGAUGAGGUUAAUAACCGCAUCGAUUGACGUUACCCGCAGAAGAAGCACCGGCUAACUCCGUGCCAGCAGCCGCCGUAA
Molecule: ribosomal RNA, 504 nt
Filed under: uncultured bacterium
Lineage: Bacteria
Description: partial 16S ribosomal RNA
Rfam family: Bacterial small subunit ribosomal RNA
Source: RNAcentral